Molecule: long non-coding RNA, 262 nt
Filed under: Elaeis guineensis (African oil palm)
Lineage: Eukaryota; Viridiplantae; Streptophyta; Magnoliopsida; Arecales; Arecaceae
Description: long non-coding RNA (EGUI_LNC069758)
Source: RNAcentral
CCGAGCUUGUCGAUUUGUAAUCAUUUGACAUAAGCUGGACACUCCCAGACCUCAAGAUAACUGACUUGCUCGAAACAUUAUCAAGUGCAUAUCUCUAAAAGGAGAUCAGCAGACUUGCAAACCCCAUCUUGGAUCGAACCAUAUCCAACAAGGUUCGAUUCUUCUUUUUUGAAACAGUCCCUGGAGGAGUCCAUUAUGAGAGAAUCUCAUUCUCUCCAAGAUAUAUCAAAAAUUCAAAAGAAAGAUAUUCACCCUCUCGAUC